UUAGGUUUUCUUCAUUUUCUUCAAGGAUUAUUGUUGUUGAAGGUUGAUGGAGAUGAUAUGGAGAUGAAAAAGAGGAGAAG
This 80-nucleotide microRNA precursor is filed under the name Medicago truncatula (barrel medic). RNAcentral describes it as "MIR5298 microRNA precursor family". It matches the Rfam family "MIR5298 microRNA precursor family". The record is from Rfam by way of RNAcentral. Lineage: Eukaryota; Viridiplantae; Streptophyta; Magnoliopsida; Fabales; Fabaceae.